Echinops telfairi (small Madagascar hedgehog) is the source of this 4292-nucleotide RNA transcript. RefSeq lists it as uncharacterized. The record is from RefSeq and is a predicted model, not a curated record. NCBI's taxonomy places the organism in Eukaryota, Metazoa, Chordata, Mammalia, Afrosoricida, Tenrecidae. The transcript has 4 exons.
GGGGCAAAAACACCCUGCAGGCUGCAUGUGGCCCACGGGCGGGAGGGCUGUAGUUUGAGGACCCCUGGUUUAGAGUCUUGCUGUUACACCCUAUGAGCAAAUUGGAGGGCAGGGUCUCCAAAGGAGAGGCAUGGAGAGAGGAGGGGUAGAGGAGGGGUUUGUUUCAGGGAACUGCUAGGUUGGGGGCUUAGACUCUACAAAACAAGCAUUUCUGUGGAAAGGGGAACUGGGGGGCCAGGGGCCUUGGGCUGAGGGUUUGUGUCUGGCAGAUGUGUGGCCCUGGCGGGUGGGGUUGUGAGUUGGGUGAGUGACUGGUGGGUAGGAGGCUUGGUGGUGGGAGGGGGCAUCUCUGGCUGCGCAUGGGUAUAAACCUACUGUAGGAACAGACACGGAGGCUGGCCUGGUUUUUACUCAAUACAGACACCACAGUGGUGUCACUAAGUCUUCCCCUCGACCCAUGCCCCCACCCCCAAUACCAGAGAGCCCUUCCUUCAGCCCGGCCCAGCAGGAAGCCCUCCCAGGAAAGAGGGGACAAGGAAAAGGGCUCAGAAAGGCCUCAUGGUCACUGGGUCCCUGGGCCAAUGUUCGGUCCUGGUGUCCAAGUUUGCAGCCUCCCCCCUUUCCUGCUGGAAGCAAACGCUGCUGAGGCCGGUCUCUAUGUCCACCUCACUCCUUAGCCUCUCCUCUGACAGCCUGAGCACACACUCCGAGAGUGGUGCGAGGGCAAUGCCCCCCUAAAGAGUUGGUUUCCCCCAAUGACUUACAUCCCCAUCCAAGGGCACAGUUUCCCCAGGUCCAGGCACAGGGAGGGGCUUGUUGAAAGGUCCUUCUUGUCACAACCAUCACCAAGACCACAGUCAUGAGCCCACAAAGGGAAAGGGACAGAUGGAGCAAAGUGACCUGAGGGAGCAGAAUCGAGGGCGAUGCUUGGGCCCCAUCACUGGGCAGCUCCAGCUGCGUUCAUGGCAGCCUCUUGCUUCAGGUCCUCCAGUAAUGGGUGUGUGUGUGUAAGAAUCUGUACCCUCAGGACUGUGCCAGGAGGCGAAUGAGGAACUCGGGGGAGAGGUCUUGUGUUAUACCUGUGGUUCAGGCUGAGUCUUGGUGGCGGCGAAAGGGUAGGAGGCAGCGAGGCUGCACCUGGAGAGUCUGAAAGCACACUCAGCUCUCUGGAUGCAAAUUGAAUCCCCAGCAGAUUCCUGAGGAAGGAUCGGAUCGCUGAGUAUUUGAACUUGAGGCCUUCCUUCUUCUUCAGCCUUGAGAUCCGAGGAGGGACUUCUGGGGACCCGAGUACACUGUGGGGAGCUGGGAGAGAGGAGGCACAAGGCCUUGGGCAGCUUGUGAAAGGGCAGGACUGGAGGCCAUGCUACUGACGGCGCGAGGUGCCCCUGGCUUCUGCAGAACAGCCCUGGUGUCUUCUCUUCUUCAUGGGUCUCGCCACUGACGGUGUGGUGAAUGAUCGGCAAACUGGAGUCCACAGGUAGAGAAAUCUCGACAAAUCAUCACUUCAAGUUGGUGCCUCGAACCGUCUAGGUUCUGGAGCUGCUGGACACACAGUUUAUUGAAAUGGAAGGACCCGUUAGGUGGCAGGUACACUUGUAAAACCAAAUAGGGACCUGCCUACCAGAGUGCAGGCUUUCCUUCAUCACCCGGUGGGUGGGUCGGAGGAAGCCACGGCUUCUCUCCUCUAGCCAACCAGCUCAGCCUGCCCCACCCCCAUCUCUACCCCUUCUGAGUAUUAUUCCUGAGGCUGGCAGCCCACCAGAGUGGGAUACCACCCCCCCUGCAUUCUCCUACAUCUGGAAGUCCUUAAAGCCUACUGUGGGAGUUGGAAUACUGGUAUUUAUUCACUCAUGUUUCCUGCCCCCACCCCCACCCCCAGUGUUCUGGAGGCAGACUGCUGGUUCUUCGCCCCGCCAAUUCUUUGCUAGUGGAACCUCAGAGAGCUGAAGGUGGGGAGUGAUAUAUACUGCCUCGCCCAGAAUCAGGGCAUGCCAACUUCCCUAGGAAAUAAAUGCAUUUGAUAAAUACUCCAGAAUCACAGGAGGAAGGACUAGACAGAAACAAUACAACGAUUCCUGUUGGUGCUCUGGGGAGCAUCAGGAGCAGGGUCAUGAAAGGGAAAGAGUGGGUGAUAUUGAGUUACCAGAGAGGCGAGAGAAAGGGGGAGCCCUUCCUCACCACCCAGGCUCUCCCAGGGCUCUGACACCCCCUCCUCCUAGCCUAAUCCCCCAUUAAGGCAGCUCUGAGUUUGUUAUGACAGCGGCUGAAGGCAGUGAAUUGCUGUUUGCUGUGUCUGCUAAUUGGCCUGAAGGGUUGGAGUCUGGACCCUGAAAGGGACCAUUGUGGCUGUUUACCUUCCAUGGCAGCCUCCCAGGGGACCCUCUGGGUGAAGGGGAGCCGCACACCCAUGCCCUGUUUCUGCACAGGGACCCGGGCUGGGGAGACCACUCCCUUUCAUGGCCUCCAGGUGAUCUGAGCUCCCACAGCACAGACGGACCCACCCAAAGCCAGAAUCACCUGCAGGCCACCUGGGCAUUUCCCAGGAGAGGAGAGAGACAUGCAGGUCCUCCUGCCUAUUCACUACCUCUCUCUUUGGGGUCCCCUCUGCCUCUCUCCCCCCAGGGGUAAGACACACUCCCCACCCGCUAGCCUAGUGAUUCCCUGCUUGGUUCUGCACUAGAAUCAACUGGGAGAGCUUUUUAAAAAAAAUGCUGAUAUCUGGGUUCAGUCCCAGACGAGUUAAACCAAAGUGUCUGGGAUUGAGGCCGAGGGACUGAUAGCAUUUAAAAACUCCCUCGAUGCUUCUAAGGAGCCACUGAUCCUGGCUCACCCAUUGGCCUGGGACACAGACGUGUACAUCUGCUCAUACAUGCCCAGGACGCACUCUGCCCCCUCCGCCCCCGCCCCGCCCAGCUCCUAACCCCUAUAAUACCACCAGACAGAUCGAGUGUCUCCACUGGUGUAGCUUGUCCAUCUAUCACCCAGUUCCUUGUGGGAGCCAUAGGAUCUAGGGUGGAAUUUAGAGGUGGAGCCUCAGCCUCUCACCUCACCUUGAGGUCUUUCCCAAGGAAAGAGCUCAGGAACUCUGGCUCCAUCCCCCCAUGGAUUCCCAAUUGAAUUCAAAUGAGGGCUGGACUGACCCAGGACACAGUGGGACAACGGAGAGCAGGUUCCAAAGUUACUUUGACACUAGUGUUCUCCUCCCCACUCCUUCCCCCAAAGUAGUAUCAGUGCUUUGGAGGUCUUCUGAGAGAGGAAACACCUUCUUCUUUCUUCGGGAGCAUUUACUCCCCUUUCCUGACUCUUUCCAAAUGUUUCUGCGUCUUCUCUUCCCUCUAGCUUCUCGCCUGGGGCGGGUGGGUGCUCUUCACCACCACCCCUCCCGCCCUCCUGCCUCCAUCAGCGCUACAGCCGCAUCCAGCACCGCGGACAGCUCCCGGGCCAUGGAGAGCUGUGUGCAGAGGAGAGGCACCAUUGACCUAAGCCAAAGAAGAGCCAGGAGGCCACGGGGCCCCUUCUGCACACACAGGCUCACCUCCUGAUGGGACCUCCCUGCUGGCCCCAUCCUAGACUUGCCCCCCUCUCACAGCUCUGGCCGGUGCCGGGGUCUGGCGGUUGUAUGCAGUGGGCACACACAUCUGCUGCUGGCAGAUCUGGAGCGGCUGACUCACCCCAGUGUCUUCGUGGGAACCCAUGCAGCCAGGAAAGAGGCCAGCAGCCCUCGGGGACACAGGCUUCUAGGCCCCCAGGAUCUGAGUGCCCCUGGGCCCGAGCGCACCUGACCCGUUCACCCUCUGCCCCGCGCCUGAUGACAAAGCCCAGAAGAGACGCCUACAUCAGCCUUCCUAGUGGACCUUCCCCAGGUGGUCCCCUUUCCCAGUUGAGGGGUUCUCCCUACAAGCCCGUCCCCCAGUUCCUGGCAUGUUCUUCAACCAAAGAGUAUCUUCAUUUUCCCUUUUCACAUCUUUUCUUAGUAGAUUUGCAAGAAGACGCUGUUCCUCCUGCCUGGCUGGGUUCCUGGGAGAAGCCCUCCCGGAGGGUCCAGGCAGUGGACCAGCUCCUCCAGGCCGGAUCGGACGGAGCAGAGCGAACAGGAGAUUCCAGCCGCCAGCCUGGACUGCCCAUGACCCCCGAGGUCGGCUGACAGAGACUUUGCUUGACCCAUGGCGCCCGAGUGUGUGCUCGCUGCCUGUCCUCGCCCGCCCCACCCACCUCGUGUCGUCCCAGCCGGGCCCUCGCGGUCCCCUGCAUGGAAGUCCCAUCUCCUAGCUAAUAAAGACUGUUGCACAUUG